RNAcentral lists this ribosomal RNA (481 nucleotides) under uncultured bacterium. Its description in RNAcentral is "partial 16S ribosomal RNA". It matches the Rfam family "Bacterial small subunit ribosomal RNA", at positions 30 to 507 of the family's 1533-position model. The record is from RNAcentral.
AUUGAACGCUGGCGGCAUGCUUUACACAUGCAAGUCGAACGGUAACAGGCCGCAAGGUGCUGACGAGUGGCGAACGGGUGAGUAAUGCAUCGGAACGUGCCCAGUCGUGGGGGAUAACUACUCGAAAGAGUAGCUAAUACCGCAUACGAUCUAUGGAUGAAAGCGGGGGACCGUAAGGCCUCGCGCGAUUGGAGCGGCCGAUGUCAGAUAGGUAGUUGGUGGGGGAAAGGCUCACCAAGCCAACGAACUGUAGCUGGUCUGAGAGGACGACCAGCCACACUGGGACUGAGACACGGCCCAGACUCCUACGGGAGGCAGCAGUGGGGAAUUUUGGACAAUGGGCGCAAGCCUGAUCCAGCAAUGCCGCGUGCAGGAAGAAGGCCUUCGGGUUGUAAACUGCUUUUGUACGGAACGAAACGGCUCUGGUUAAUACCCGGGGCUAAUGACGGUACCGUAAGAAUAAGCACCGGCUAACUACGUG